This 497-nucleotide ribosomal RNA is filed under the name uncultured bacterium. RNAcentral describes it as "partial 16S ribosomal RNA". It matches the Rfam family "Bacterial small subunit ribosomal RNA", at positions 28 to 507 of the family's 1533-position model. The record is from RNAcentral.
GAUGAACGCUGGCGGCGUGCCUAAUACAUGCAAGUCGAGCGAACAGACGAGGAGCUUGCUCCUCUGACGUUAGCGGCGGACGGGUGAGUAACACGUGGAUAACCUACCUAUAAGACUGGGAUAACUUCGGGAAACCGGAGCUAAUACCGGAUAAUAUAUUGAACCGCAUGGUUCAAUAGUGAAAGACGGUUUUGCUGUCACUUAUAGAUGGAUCCGCGCCGCAUUAGCUAGUUGGUAAGGUAACGGCUUACCAAGGCAACGAUGCGUAGCCGACCUGAGAGGGUGAUCGGCCACACUGGAACUGGAACACGGUCCAGACUCCUACGGGAGGCAGCAGUAGGGAAUCUUCCGCAGUGGGCGAAAGCCUGACAGAGCAACGCCGCGUGAGUGAUGAAGGUCUUCGGAUCGUAAAACUCUGUUAUUAGGGAAGAACAAAUUUGUAAGUAACUAUGCACGUCUUGACGGUACCUAAUCAGAAAGCCACGGCUAACUACGUG